This 292-nucleotide unclassified non-coding RNA is filed under the name plant metagenome. Its description in RNAcentral is "partial contains small subunit ribosomal RNA, internal transcribed spacer 1, and 5.8S ribosomal RNA". The record is from RNAcentral.
UUUCCGUAGGUGAACCUGCGGAAGGAUCAUUAUUGAAUAAACAUGAUGUGGUUGUAGCUGGCCCUUUAGGGAGCAUGUGCACACCCGUCGUCUUUAUCUUUCCAACUGUGAACCUCUUGUAGACCUGGAUGUAACACUUUCCGAGGCAACUCGGUCGGGAGGAAUGCUGUCAGCUUUCCUUGAAUGUCCAGGCCUAUGUUUUCAUAUACCCCAAAGAAUGUAACAGAAUGUAUUAUUGGGCCUUGUGCCUAUAAACUAUAUACAACUUUCAGCAACGGAUCUCUUGGCUCUC